RNAcentral lists this long non-coding RNA (947 nucleotides) under Trifolium pratense (red clover). Its description in RNAcentral is "long non-coding RNA (TPRA_LNC006908)". The record is from RNAcentral. Lineage: Eukaryota; Viridiplantae; Streptophyta; Magnoliopsida; Fabales; Fabaceae.
AAACACAACUCAUUGAUGUAUUGUAGGGACAUUUAAUAAUUAAUAUUAUAAUUUCUGAAAGAAUUUCUUACUGGAUAAGUACUAAAAACUAUUUAAUUGAUGAGAAUACAAACUCAAUAAAUUAUACAAAGUUUUAAAAACCAUUUGUUACGUGUAAAUUGAGGAAAUAUGGCUACAAUUGUCAAGUUUAUUAUCUUUCUUUCCAUAUUUUUUGUUGCAAAUUUCAAUACAAGUAAGUGUUUUUUAUCCAUUAAUUUCAAAUUUCUUUUCUUACGUUGUACUUAAUAUUUUAUUUCAUUUUAAUUAUACUCUUCUAUUCUCUUUUUUCGUUACAGAUAUUAGAUGUUCAAAGCAUAUAUCAUGUCCAUCAAAUGCAUGUCCACUUAAUUAUUUUACAAGGUGUUAUAACAAUCGUUGCAAUUGUAUUAAAGUGUGGCAAGAAGAUAUCUAAGCCCAUAUGAUAAUAUCUUUACCAGGGGAUUGGAAUGUUUCUUUUCGGCAUAGAGAGUAAUGAAUGUGUCGAUUGGCUUGCGAAGACUUGAGUCUCCUGCAAUGAUAUUUUAAAAAUUUGGAAUAAUUGUCCUCCUCAACUCAGUCUCGUGUUGAUGGAUGAUGUUGUAGGUGUUGCUCGUCCAAUAGCUUAGUUUCUUUUCUCUUUUUGUUCUUGUGUUAUUUGUUUUAUUUUCCAUCUCAUAAAAAAAUAAUGUAUUUGGUUUUUGUUAUUUUAUUGGCACCCGAUAUAUUUUUUUUUUUUAAUUUAAAGAACAUGUGGUUAUGUUAUGACUUUGUAAUCUAAGAUGAUGGUAAUGAAAUAAGGUGCAGCAAAGAAUAUUAUUUAAGUUGUCUUUUCUCCUAAUUUUAUAGAUAUCGUUAUUACCUUCAAAUUUGCACAUAUCACAUUUUCUUUCAAACUCUACCCACCUAUCAAAACAUCUUUAAAAUAGUUA